RNAcentral lists this long non-coding RNA (1881 nucleotides) under Theobroma cacao (cacao). RNAcentral describes it as "long non-coding RNA (TCAC_LNC004893)". The record is from RNAcentral. Lineage: Eukaryota; Viridiplantae; Streptophyta; Magnoliopsida; Malvales; Malvaceae.
GGAAAGAAAAAAACCAAGAACCCUAGGUGAGAAAAUUGAAGAAAAAGUGUGGGAUUUCAAGGGAUUAAGCUAAUAAAGGUAAAAUUUAUUGAUUUUGACUUGUGAUUUACACUACCCAUGCUUUCUUUUUCAUUUUUCAUGAUUAGAUUUCAUGUUUUCAUGGUGAAUUCAUGGCUGGUCAAAAUGGGUAUGGAGAGAGAAAGAUGUUGGAUUGAUUUGAUUUUAAGUUAUGUUAGUGUUUUUAGUUAGUUUAGCAUAUUUAGAAACAAAACAAUAAGAAAAGAAUUCAUUUUCCCCCAUCACCAUCAUUGGCCGAAUUUUCUAGGGAAGAUAUUGUGGUUGAAAUUGAUGAUAUUUCAUGAUAUUUGGGUGAUAUUUGAUGUUUGGUGAGGCUAGAAAUUAAAUGGGAAAUUUUGGUGUGAAAAUCUGAAUUUUUACCUAAUGUAUAGACAUGUGUGAUUAUUGACCCGAGACUGAUAAAUUGAAUCUCAUUCAUAGUCAUUGAGGUAAUUUAGGUAUAAUUGGAGUGUAAAAAGUGAGAAAAAUUGAUUUAGAGUUAAAUUGGAGAUUUUAGCCGAUUAGGCCGAGUAUAUUGUGACUUUGGUCGAAUAUCACAUUUAAGUGAUUAAUCAGACAUUUUGCAUCCCAUCGCAUGCAUUCAUUUAGAUUUAGAGAGUCUGAAAUAGUUUACGAUAAAUUGACAUAAUUUAUUGAAAUUCGUGUCACGUAUGAUGUAUAGGUGGUGAGCUCUCUAACAAGGGUAAAGAGAUUGUGCCCGAAGACUGAGAAUAGGAGUAUAUCAAACUCCUAGUACUGUGAGUAACCUUACUAUCAUUUUAAUUAUCUAAAGUAUGUUGUUAUUCGGUUUUGGUGAAAUUUUAUGAAAAGGAGUUUAAAUGGUAAAUCUUUGUGUUUUACAAACAAAAUGUAUUUACAUGAAAGGAUUUUAUAAAUUGUCUUAAAAUCGAAUAAUGAUUUUGAAAAAUAGAGUAAUUGGAGACCACUUGUUAUAUUGUAAUUUAUGAUUUGAAAUCGAAUGGCUUAUGACAAUAUUUGCAUGAAUGGCUGAAUUGAUAUUUGUGUUGAAAUGUAUGAAAUAUGUAUUUAGCCUUGAAAGGUUGUGAAUUAUAAUAAUUGCCAUAUCAUGUUAUUGAAUUUUAUUGUAUGGUGGGUUUAGUUUGCUGCAGUGGGCGAAUUCUGUGGACCAGCCUAUUAGAAGGGCACAGAAUCCGGAUAUAUAUAUGUACCUCGGUCGGAGAGGCACGUAGGGUAUCUUAUGAGGUAUGGAUAGAGUUCACGUCACGCCGAACCACCUCAUGAUAAUGAACUCUGCUAACGCCAAGGAACAGUUGUGUUUUUCUCAAACUAAAAAUAUGUUUUAUGUGUAUACGAAAUUUUAACAGCCUUGCCGGGCUCUAGUGUACGCCUCUGAUCAAGGUGUCGUCGAGUACUAUUUGAUGGCAUGAGCCAAAUGUUUAUGGAAGUCAUAAGCCUUAAUGAGAAAUUAAAUGAAACACAACCGUUUGCAUGGGUUGGGAUAAAUUUUCAAAUUGUGAAAUACUUAAAAAUGAUGGAAUAUUUUAAUUGUCUCAUUUUACUCGGCUUUAGCUGAUUUAAAUGAUGUUUGGUUACUCACUGGGAUUUUAUAAUCUCACCACCCUUCUUUCCACCCAUUUCAGGCUCAGAGUAGGCUGUAGAUAGCUGAUUCCAUUGAGGGAUUCCAUUGGACUUGCUUCCUCCGAAUUGUAGGUUCACCGUUUUCCUCACUUCUAGUCAUUCGUGGGCUUGCUUGAUAUUGUAAAUUAAAUUAAUUUAAAUGCAUUGGUUUACUGUGUCACAGUAUGAAUGAAAUUAUUUUGCUUUUAUGUUACAAAAAGUAUU